RNAcentral lists this ribosomal RNA (384 nucleotides) under uncultured bacterium. Its description in RNAcentral is "bacterial SSU rRNA". It matches the Rfam family "Bacterial small subunit ribosomal RNA", at positions 30 to 416 of the family's 1533-position model. The record is from RNAcentral.
AUUGAACGCUGGCGGCAUGCCUUACACAUGCAAGUCGAACGGCAGCGGACCUUCGGGUGCCGGCGAGUGGCGAACGGGUGAGUAAUAUAUCGGAACGUACCUUUCAGUGGGGGAUAACGUAGCGAAAGUUACGCUAAUACCGCAUAUUCUGUGAGCAGGAAAGCAGGGGAUCGCAAGACCUUGCGCUGAUUGAGCGGCCGAUAUCAGAUUAGCUAGUUGGUGGGGUAAAGGCUCACCAAGGCGACGAUCUGUAGCGGGUCUGAGAGGAUGAUCCGCCACACUGGAACUGAGACACGGUCCAGACUCCUACGGGAGGCAGCAGUGGGGAAUUUUGGACAAUGGGCGCAAGCCUGAUCCAGCCAUGCCGCGUGAGUGAAGAAGGCC